RNAcentral lists this ribosomal RNA (664 nucleotides) under uncultured bacterium. RNAcentral describes it as "bacterial SSU rRNA". It matches the Rfam family "Bacterial small subunit ribosomal RNA", at positions 788 to 1451 of the family's 1533-position model. The record is from RNAcentral.
UGGUAGUNCACGCCGUAAACGAUGAGUGCUAGGUGUUAGGCCCUUUCCGGGGCUUAGUGCCGGAGCUAACGCAAUAAGCACUCCGCCUGGGGAGUACGACCGCAAGGUUGAAACUCAAAGGAAUUGACGGGGGCCCGCACAAGCGGUGGAGCAUGUGGUUUAAUUNGAAGCAACGCGAAGANCCUUACCAGGUCUUGACAUCCCGAUGCUAUUCUUAGAGAUAGGAAGUUACUUCGGUACAUCGGAGACAGGUGGUGCAUGGUUGUCGUCAGCUCGUGUCGUGAGAUGUUGGGUUAAGUCCCGCAACGAGCGCAACCCUUAUUGUUAGUUGCCAUCAUUAAGUUGGGCACUCUAGCGAGACUGCCGGUAAUAAACCGGAGGAAGGUGGGGAUGACGUCAAAUCAUCAUGCCCCUUAUGACCUGGGCUACACACGUGCUACAAUGGUCGGUACAACGAGUUGCGAGCCGGUGACGGCAAGCUAAUCUCUGAAAGCCAGUCUCAGUUCGGAUUGUAGGCUGCAACUCGCCUACAUGAAGUCGGAAUCGCUAGUAAUCGCGGAUCAGCACGCCGCGGUGAAUACGUUCCCGGGCCUUGUACACACCGCCCGUCACACCACGAGAGUUUGUAACACCCGAAGUCGGUGAGGUANCCUUUUAGGAGCCA